AAUAAAGUGCCUGAUAAAAGGAUUAUUUUGAUAGAAUAAAUUAUAUAUAAAAACUAUAUCUUUAUUA
Molecule: transfer RNA, 67 nt
Filed under: Anisocentropus maculatus
Lineage: Eukaryota; Metazoa; Arthropoda; Insecta; Trichoptera; Calamoceratidae
Description: tRNA-Ile
Source: RNAcentral